RNAcentral lists this transfer RNA (69 nucleotides) under Rhodeus atremius (Kyushu bitterling). RNAcentral describes it as "tRNA-Ala". It matches the Rfam family "tRNA". From Rfam's summary of the family: Transfer RNA (tRNA) molecules are approximately 80 nucleotides in length. Their secondary structure includes four short double-helical elements and three loops (D, anti-codon, and T loops). RNAcentral also lists the same sequence under 1 other name. The record is from RNAcentral. Lineage: Eukaryota; Metazoa; Chordata; Actinopteri; Cypriniformes; Acheilognathidae.
GAGGCCUUAGUUUAAUUAAAACAUUUGAUUUGCACUCAUGAAAUGCAAGAUAGAGUCUUGUAGGUCUUA